GAUGAACGCUAGCGAUAGGCUUAACACAUGCAAGUCGAGGGGCAGCAUGGUCUUAGCUUGCUAAGACUGAUGGCGACCGGCGCACGGGUGCGUAACGCGUAUGCAACUUGCCUCACAGAGGGGGAUAACCCGUCGAAAGACGGACUAAUACCGCGUACACUCUAUGUUGGGCAUCCAAUGUAGAGGAAAUGAAAUUCGCUGUGAGAUAGGCAUGCGUCCCAUUAGCUAGUUGGUGAGGUAACGGCUCACCAAGGCGACGAUGGGUAGGGGAACUGAGAGGUUGAACCCCCACACUGGUACUGAGACACGGACCAGACUCCUACGGGAGGCAGCAGUGAGGAAUAUUGGUCAAUGGGCGAGAGCCCGAACCAGCCAAGUCGCGUGAAGGAUGACUGUCUUAUGGAUUGUAAACUUCUUUUGUAGGGGAAUAAAGAACGGCACGUGUGCCGUAGUGAAUGUACCCUACGAAUAAGCAUCGGCUAACUCCGUGCCAGCAGCCGCGGUAAUACGGGGGAUGCGAGCGUUAUCCGGAUUUAUUGGGUUUAAAGGGUGCGUAGGCGGCCUGUUAAGUCAGCGGUGAAAUCUAGGAGCUUAACUCCUAAAUUGCCAUUGAUACUGGCGGGCUUGAGUGUAGAUGAGGUAGGCGGAAUGCGUGGUGUAGCGGUGGAAUGCAUAGAUAUCACGCAGAACUCCGAUUGCGAAGGCAGCUUACUAAGGUACAACUGACGCUGAAGCACGAAAGCGUGGGUAUCACACAGG
This 759-nucleotide ribosomal RNA is filed under the name uncultured Porphyromonas sp. RNAcentral's name for it is "bacterial SSU rRNA". It matches the Rfam family "Bacterial small subunit ribosomal RNA", at positions 28 to 776 of the family's 1533-position model. The record is from RNAcentral. Lineage: Bacteria; Pseudomonadati; Bacteroidota; Bacteroidia; Bacteroidales; Porphyromonadaceae.